CAAAAAAACAAGCCUCCUUUUUUCCCCCUUUGCCUUAUAAUUCUCUCGGAGUGUGACAAAGGGGAGUCUUUCAACAGUCUAUAACGCUCGCUGGGCCAGAGAGAAAUCUAAAGACUAUUACGAGCAGAGAGAACACAAAAGGGUUUAUCAGAUGGCCUGCCUUAAAGGGGUUGUCGCAGAGAGGCCAAGAAGUUGCUUUCCACUUCCUUUCCCACCCCAGAGAUCAACCUUGAUGUCCGUUUAUCCCAUUCUCUCAACUGUUUAGGUGGGAUUUCUAUGUGCAGUGAUUGGAACAAAUACAGUAACCUUGGCAGGAUGUUCAUUUUGAUUGUUUCAAAUCUACUACUAAGAUCUACCGGACCUCUGGCAUUCUCUAUGGGGGUGCCACAGGGUUCAAUUCUUGGACCGACUCUCUUCUCUGUAUACAUCAAUGAGGUCACUCUUGCUGCUGGUGA
This is a long non-coding RNA of Oncorhynchus gorbuscha (pink salmon), 455 nucleotides long. RefSeq lists it as uncharacterized. NCBI's taxonomy places the organism in Eukaryota, Metazoa, Chordata, Actinopteri, Salmoniformes, Salmonidae. The record is from RefSeq and is a predicted model, not a curated record. The transcript is spliced from 3 exons.